UACGUAGGGUGCAAGCGUUGUCCGGAAUUAUUGGGCGUAAAGAGCUCGUAGGCGGUUUGUCGCGUCGGCUGUGAAAACCCGGGGCUCAACUCCGGGCCUGCAUUCGAUACGGGCAGACUAGAGUUCGGUAGGGGAGACUGGAAUUCCUGGUGUAGCGGUGAAAUGCGCAGAUAUCAGGAGGAACACCGAUGGCGAAGGCAGGUCUCUGGGCAUUAACUGACGCUGAGGAGCGAAAGCAUGGGGAGCGAACAGG
This 253-nucleotide ribosomal RNA is filed under the name uncultured bacterium. RNAcentral describes it as "partial 16S ribosomal RNA". It matches the Rfam family "Bacterial small subunit ribosomal RNA", at positions 524 to 776 of the family's 1533-position model. The record is from RNAcentral.